Molecule: non-coding RNA, 73 nt
Organism: Mustela putorius furo (domestic ferret)
Lineage: Eukaryota; Metazoa; Chordata; Mammalia; Carnivora; Mustelidae
Source: Rfam
GUCUGGCUGGCUCAAUCGGAAGAGUAUGUGACUCUCAAUCUCAGGGUCAUGGGCUCAAGCCCCGUGUUGGACA